This 301-nucleotide ribosomal RNA is filed under the name uncultured bacterium. RNAcentral describes it as "partial 16S ribosomal RNA". It matches the Rfam family "Bacterial small subunit ribosomal RNA", at positions 509 to 809 of the family's 1533-position model. The record is from RNAcentral.
CAGCCGCCGCGGUAAUGCGUAGGUGGCAAGCGUUGUCCGGAAUUAUUGGGCGUAAAGCGCGCGCAGGCGGAUCAGUUAGUCUGUCUUAAAAGUUCGGGGCUUAACCCCGUGAGGGGAUGGAAACUGCUGAUCUAGAGUAUCGGAGAGGAAAGUGGAAUUCCUAGUGUAGCGGUGAAAUGCGUAGAUAUUAGGAAGAACACUAGUGGCGAAGGCGACUUUCUGGACGAAAACUGACGCUGAGGCGCGAAAGCCAGGGGAGCGAACGGGAUUAGAUACCCGCGUAGUCCCUGUCUCUUAUACA